CAUGAAGAACGUAGCAAAAUGCGAUAAGUAAUGUGAAUUGCAGAAUUCAGUGAAUCAUCGAAUCUUUGAACGCACAUUGCGCCCGCUGGUAUUCCGGCGGGCAUGCCUGUUCGAGCGUCAUUUCAACCCUCAAACCCCCCGGGUUUGGUGUUGGGGAUCGGCUCUGCCUCACGGCGGUGCCGCCCCCGAAAUACAUUGGCGGUCUCGCUGCAGCCUCCAUUGCGUAGUAGCUAACACCUCGCAACUGGAACGCGGCGCGGCCAUGCCGUAAAACCCCAACUUCUGAAUGUUGACCUCGGAUCAGGUAGGAAUACCCGCUGAACUUAAGCAUAUCAAUAAGCGGAGGA
This 347-nucleotide unclassified non-coding RNA is filed under the name soil metagenome. RNAcentral's name for it is "partial contains 5.8S ribosomal RNA, internal transcribed spacer 2, and large subunit ribosomal RNA". The stretch from base 2 to 120 matches the Rfam family "5.8S ribosomal RNA", at positions 36 to 154 of the family's 154-position model. The record is from RNAcentral.